This 305-nucleotide ribosomal RNA is filed under the name uncultured bacterium. Its description in RNAcentral is "bacterial SSU rRNA". It matches the Rfam family "Bacterial small subunit ribosomal RNA", at positions 334 to 653 of the family's 1533-position model. The record is from RNAcentral.
GUGUCCUACGGGAGGCAGCAGUGGGGAAUAUUGGGCAAUGGGCGCAAGCCUGACCCAGCAACGCCGCGUGAAGGAAGAAGGCUUUCGGGUUGUAAACUUCUUUUCUCAGGGACGAAGAAAGUGACGGUACCUGAGGAAUAAGCCACGGCUAACUACGUGCCAGCAGCCGCGGUAAUACGUAGGUGGCAAGCGUUAUCCGGAUUUACUGGGUGUAAAGGGAGCGUAGGCGGCGCGUUAAGUCUGAUGUGAAAACCCGAGGCUCAACCACGGGAGUGCAUUGGAAACUGGCGGGCUGGAGUGCCGGG